Molecule: long non-coding RNA, 1058 nt
Organism: Daphnia carinata
Lineage: Eukaryota; Metazoa; Arthropoda; Branchiopoda; Diplostraca; Daphniidae
Exons: 3
Source: RefSeq, a predicted model, not a curated record
UUGUCGGCUGCUUGUUGCAAAAGUUUUUCAUGUACUGUACUGUACUUGUUUCCUUAUUGCCACGUGAAUUCCUCCUUUCAUACUGGAAAAGUUUCAUCGUUAUGAUGCCAAUUGAUAUUCAAUAAAUAUAUAAGUACUAUUGCAUCGUUGGAAUUUUGGGUUCGAUGCAAAUGGAAAUGAACGGAGCAAAUUUUAGUAUGGUUUCGGAUUAUCAUAGUUUAGAUGAAAAAAGUUCAGUAGCUCUAGAAGAUUUGGAAAUUGCUUUGUAUGGGAUGCUUCCCCAUGCAUCAAAUGAAGAAGAAUGUUGCCUUAGACCCCAGAAAUGAUAAAGUUCUAUGAUAGCGAUGGGUCUGAUAGAGAUUUGGAAGCAAUCUUAAAAUCUCUUCCGAAGAACAUCAAGUGGCAUUGGGAUAUCGAAGAUUGUCGUGGAAGCGAUUUACAGAGAAAUCGUUAUUUUGCAAUGAGUGCCAAAAAUGCAAUGCACUAACUGUAGCCAGUGGGAUCAUCUCACUAAGGACUGCAAAGAUCCUAAGAAAAUCAUUGGGGGUAUCUGCGGAUGGCUUGGACACAAGCAAUUUGCAUGUCCAAAUAAAGUGUGUUUGGGUUGUGGCCAGCCAAGCAAAAUUCUUGUUGAGUGCUGUCCUGAAAGUUGUCGAGAGCAACAUAUUAUUUGUAUGAUCUGUCGUUCUAAGCAUGUCACUCAGCGCUGUCCCGAUCGGUGGAGGCCGUCGUCAAUCUGCACGCGAACACGUCGUUAUCUGCAUUGGAUUCGUUUUCUUUUAUGCUUGACAGAUAGAUAAACGGACUGAUCAAAGGCCUUACUUUUUUUUUGCAGUGCAUGAAACGUUAAAUCGAAUUCUUUACUAAAAUCCGUAAUCGUCGAUUAUUGCUCCGGGAUUCUUCUUGACGUUCUUUCUUGGUAAAAUUGAACCAAAUAGAAGGACACAUGUUGCAAGUUUAUUAUUUCCUUCAUUGUAGUUGUUUCAGUCACUAGGAACGUUUUCAUUGAAAAUUUUUUAAUUUGUUUAAUUAGUAUACUCUUCGAUUCGAUGUAUUUC